AUGCAUACUUGCAUCGAUCCAUCAACGACAAGCAAGGCUAGUUAUGAACUAGAGCUAGCCAACAAUGGGAGUCUCGGCGACGGUGGUGCCGUUGACGAAGAUGCGGACGCGGUUGGCGAUGAAUUGCGUGUCGCUGCUGGAGCCGACGGGAAGGACGAGGAUGUCAGCGCCAGGCUUGUCGCGGAGGAUGAUCGCCUUGGCCUCCUCGACGGGCAGCCCCACCACCUCCGGCCACGACGUCUUCUCCUCCGACGAACUCAUCGUGAUCGGUUGAUCGGUUGUUCAGGAUCAGAAGACUACUGCUUGUGA
This 309-nucleotide ribosomal RNA is filed under the name Triticum aestivum (bread wheat). RNAcentral describes it as "partial small subunit ribosomal RNA". Lineage: Eukaryota; Viridiplantae; Streptophyta; Magnoliopsida; Poales; Poaceae. The record is from RNAcentral.